UCAGGAGUGGGACUCUUUGGCUUGAAUUUCCUUCUGCUGGGGUUGUUCCCCAGAAAAGUGGACUCAUCUCUUUGUGCCUGUGCCUCCCUCAGGGAUCUAGCCACAAAAUCAUGGACACACCUGGAAAUCUGUGAGUCCUCCAGAGCCAGAAAUUUUGUGUAUGGAAUCAUGAAACAGAAACAUCCCUCUACACAGCCCUGGGGAAGGAGCUGCCCAGGAAGGCUGGUAAUUGUUUGGCAAGGAGGGGCUGUGCACACCUGGAAGCAGAAACACCAGAACUGCUGGGAGACAAAGGCAAAGAGAGAAAGCAAAAGGCAGAGAUGAGGGUGAAGCACCAGGACUGCCAUCCUGGCAUGCCAGUAAUUAAAUAAUUGAAAUAGUAUUUGCUGUCAAAUGUUUCCACAGUGUCCCUCAUGAAAAACAAUGCACAUUAUGAUGCCAUAAAUCCGUAUUAUCUACGUCUUCACAACCAGAAGCUUCCCAUUACCCAAAAGAAGGGUGAAUCCCAUGAGACACAUUAAUGGCAUUGAAAACUCCUCCUGUUAUCUUAAACCUUGAUUAAU
Molecule: long non-coding RNA, 563 nt
Organism: Prinia subflava (tawny-flanked prinia)
Lineage: Eukaryota; Metazoa; Chordata; Aves; Passeriformes; Cisticolidae
Exons: 3
Source: RefSeq, a predicted model, not a curated record